CCGAGACACGGUCAUGCAAAUAGAAGCAUCAAAACUAACAAAAUGUGACCAAGAUGGAGGCUAUCCCUUCUAUAGCAUGGAAUGAACAAAUAGGACUCACAUACGUAUGAAGGAGGCAUUAUCACAAGCUCUCAUCCUCCUGGGGGACUUCAACCGCCCUGACAUCUGUUGAAAAGUGGAAUGGCAAAAUGUAGGCAAUCCAGAAGGCUCUUGGAAUUCAUCAUGGAUAACUUCUCAAUGCAGGACUGUUUGAUAACUAUGCAGCAUUGGCAGGUGCUCCGCUCACUGCAUUUGGAACAAGCACAAACUGAGCUGCAGCUGCACUUUGCAGGAUCAAACCCAUCAAUUUGCUCAGAGAAUUCCUUGCUUUGCCGCAAAAACGGUUUGUGAAUGAAAAUAACCCCAGGGCUUGGUUUCUAUGGUUACUUCUGCACUAGAGAAACAGCAACCCUCUCACUUAUUUAUUCCUCAUUAAAAUAUUGUUUGAAUAACCCAGGUGCUCUCCGUUUGGGCACCAUUUUAUACAUCUUACUUAAUUUUGCUGUUCUUAAUUUUAGAUAUGUACUGCUAAGUACUGUUCUAGAUUUUGCAAAAGGUAAAGGCUUUGUAAGAGAGCUGAUCUCUUUAGAGUGGUAAAAGAACUGCAACACAUCCUAACAUGACUGAUAGAAAAUUAAGACAUUAACCUACCUUAAUCAUGCAAAUUCCUCUUUAGCUAGAGAACUAAAAACUCCAGAAAUCAUUUCAUUUAAUCUCAAGAUUCAGUUUUCCAGCACAUUUUCUGGAAGUACCUGUGAGACCUAUUGGGAAUGUUACGACAGUCAGCAAGUGAGAUCAAUCCUCUUUCACCUGAGUAUCUCUGCUUUUUAAUUGUUUGUCAGUAAGUUGGCAAGACACCAGCUUUGAGAUGUCAUGAGAUUUUCACUGAAAACAUUUUGAUGUACAGAUCUUUCUAGGGUGUUCUUAGUGCAUACCAACACUACACUGGUUUCUGCAGACUGCACAGUUUGUUAGGCUGCAGUUUGAUUUUAGUGAUAAACUGCCCGAUGAAGUGAAUCACAGCUGUUCAUUAUAGGUAGAAGCUACCUCUCGGCCAAAGUGUUAGAUGAAGGGUAAAUUGCAGUUCACUGGAGAACUGAAGUGAAAUAUAAAACAAUUUAUUUUUAGAAAACAAAAUCAAUGAAAAUUGCCAUUUCAAUGACAAAAUCAUCUUAUGAUCAAUCUUUAGAAUACUAAGCAUAAUUCAUGCAGUUAUUUAAACAGGCAUGAUUUACUUUCAAGAACUAACAAAAUGAGAAUGUGAAAGAGCUCUAAGAACUGCUCAGAGCUUCCAUAUUUGUUAUGAGCUAGUUUUCACAUCAAGACAGAGAAAAAAAUACAUCCAUUCCUUCUAAUGGAACUUAAUUUCUUGUAUAACUGGACUGGCAGCCAUUUAUCUGGCAGCUGGGAUGAUGCUGAAAAGAAAUAAUGUAAUGCAAGAGAAUUUAUCAGCUACCUACAGGCAUAGUGAAAACCUCACCUACUGUUAAAUUGGCAUAUCUUCAUUUCUUUCUGAGGACCUUCAUAACUGUAUACCAUAUGCAGAUCAACCUCCAUCCAUGUUGUU
Lagopus muta (rock ptarmigan) is the source of this 1606-nucleotide long non-coding RNA. RefSeq lists it as uncharacterized. The transcript has 3 exons. The record is from RefSeq and is a predicted model, not a curated record. NCBI's taxonomy places the organism in Eukaryota, Metazoa, Chordata, Aves, Galliformes, Phasianidae.